This 22-nucleotide ribosomal RNA is filed under the name Phaeophyscia endophoenicea. RNAcentral describes it as "partial 18S ribosomal RNA". The record is from RNAcentral. Lineage: Eukaryota; Fungi; Ascomycota; Lecanoromycetes; Caliciales; Physciaceae.
UUCCGUAGGUACCUGUCCAAGG